AACGAACGCUGGCGGCAGGCUUAACACAUGCAAGUCGAGCGCCCCGCAAGGGGAGCGGCAGACGGGUGAGUAACGCGUGGGAAUCUACCCAUCCCUACGGAACAACUCCGGGAAACUGGAGCUAAUACCGUAUACGCCCUUUGGGGGAAAGAUUUAUCGGGGAUGGAUGAGCCCGCGUUGGAUUAGCUAGUUGGUGGGGUAAUGGCCUACCAAGGCAACGAUCCAUAGCUGGUCUGAGAGGAUGAUCAGCCACACUGGGACUGAGACACGGCCCAGACUCCUACGGGAGGCAGCAGUGGGGAAUAUUGGACAAUGGGCGCAAGCCUGAUCCAGCCAUGCCGCGUGAGUGAUGACGGCCCUAGGGUUGUAAAGCUCUUUCACCGGUGAAGAUAAUGACGGUAACCGGAGAAGAAGCCCCGGCUAACUUCGUG
This 431-nucleotide ribosomal RNA is filed under the name uncultured bacterium. Its description in RNAcentral is "bacterial SSU rRNA". It matches the Rfam family "Bacterial small subunit ribosomal RNA", at positions 29 to 507 of the family's 1533-position model. The record is from RNAcentral.